Molecule: transfer RNA, 68 nt
Filed under: Coleoptera sp. 11 KM-2017
Lineage: Eukaryota; Metazoa; Arthropoda; Insecta; Coleoptera
Description: tRNA-Val
Source: RNAcentral
CAAGUUAGAGCUGGAAUAAGUUUUUUAUUUACAUUAAAAAGGUAGUUGUGAAAAUCAAUUUAAUUUGA